UUCCGGUUGAUCCCGCCGGACCUGACUGCUAUCGGAUUGAUACUAAGCCAUGCGAGUCAUUGUAGCAAUACAAGGCAUACGGCUCAGUAACGCGUAGUCAACCUACCCUAUGGACGGAAAUAACCUCGGGAAACUGAGAAUAAUAUCCGAUAGAACAUUAUGCCUGGAAUGGUUUAUGUUCCAAAUGAUUUAUCGCCGUAGGAUGGGACUGCGGCCUAUCAGUUUGUUGGUGAGGUAAUGGCCCACCAAGACUAUUACAGGUACGGGCUCUGAGAGGAGUAGCCCGGAGAUGGGUACUGAGACACGGACCCAGGCCCUAUGGGGCGCAGCAGGCGAGAAAACUUUGCAAUGUGCGAAAGCACGACAAGGUUAAUCCGAGUGAUUUCUGCUAAAGAAAUCUUUUGUUAGUCCUAGAAACACUAACGAAUAAGGGGUGGGCAAGUUCUGGUGUCAGCCGCCGCGGUAAAACCAGCACCUCAAGUGGUCAGGAUGAUUAUUGGGCCUAAAGCAUCCGUAGCCGGCUCUGUAAGUCCUCGGUUAAAUCUGUACGCUUAACGUACAGGCUGCCGGGAAUACUGCAUAGCUAGGGAGUGGGAGAGGUAGACGGUACUCGGUAGGAAGGGGUAAAAUCCUUUGAUCUAUUGAUGACCACCUGUGGCGAAGGCAAUCUACCAAAACACGUCCGACGGUGAGGGAUGAAAGCUGGGGGAGCAAACCGGAUUAGAUACCCGGGUAGUCCCAGCUGUAAACUAUGCAAACUCAGUGAUGCAUUGGCUUGUGGCCAAUGCAGUGCUGCAGGGAAGCCGUUAAGUUUGCCGCCUGGGAAGUACGUACGCAAGUAUGAAACUUAAAGGAAUUGGCGGGGGAGCACCACAA
This 876-nucleotide ribosomal RNA is filed under the name uncultured Nitrososphaerota archaeon. RNAcentral describes it as "bacterial SSU rRNA". It matches the Rfam family "Archaeal small subunit ribosomal RNA", at positions 1 to 884 of the family's 1478-position model. The record is from RNAcentral. Lineage: Archaea; Thermoproteati; Nitrososphaerota.